RNAcentral lists this ribosomal RNA (252 nucleotides) under uncultured bacterium. RNAcentral describes it as "partial 16S ribosomal RNA". It matches the Rfam family "Bacterial small subunit ribosomal RNA", at positions 52 to 334 of the family's 1533-position model. The record is from RNAcentral.
CACAUGCAAGUCGAACGCACCUUCGGGUGAGUGGCAGACGGGUGAGUAACACGUGGGAACCUUCCCUUCGGUACGGAAUAGCUCCGGGAAACUGGAAUUAAUACCGUAUACGCCCCUUGGGGGAAAGAUUUAUCGCCGAAGGAUGGGCCCGCGUCGGAUUAGCUAGUUGGUAGGGUAACGGCCUACCAAGGCAACGAUCCGUAGCUGGUCUUAGAGGAUGAUCAGCCACACUGGGACUGAGACACGGCCCAG